This is a long non-coding RNA of Ictalurus punctatus (channel catfish), 760 nucleotides long. NCBI's taxonomy places the organism in Eukaryota, Metazoa, Chordata, Actinopteri, Siluriformes, Ictaluridae. The record is from Ensembl.
GUACACAAGCACACACAUCACACAGAGAGGUACACAAGCACACACAUCACACAGAGAGGUACACAAGCACACACAUUACACAGAGAGGUACACAACUCCACAUUACACAGAGAGGUACACAAGCACACACAUUACACAGAGAGGUACACAACUCCACAUUACACAGAGAGGUACACAACUACACACAUUACACAGAGAGGUACACAAGCACACACAUUACACAGAGAGGGACACAAGCACACACAUUACACAGAGAGGUACACAACUACACACAUUACACAGAGAGGUACACAACUACACACAUUACACAGAGAGUUACACAACCAGACACACACAUUACACAGAGAGGUACACAAGCACACACAUUACACAGAGAGGUACACAAGCACACACAUUACACAAAGAUGUACACAACUACACAUACACACAUUACACAAAGAGGUACACAACUACACAUACACACAUUACACAAAGAGGUACACAACUACACAUACACAUUACACAGAGAGGUACACAACCAGACACACACAUUAGACAGGGAGGUACAUAACUACAGACACAUUACACAGAGACGUAAACAACUACACAGUUACACAACACUGCAGGUUGUUAUGCACAAAACAUUACACAAUGCACACUUUUACACCACACAAGGGAAUAAAAUGUGUUUGUGUUAGUAAGUCAUAAGCUUCAAAGGCUGCAAGCUGUCGGGUUUCCCUUCUAAAGGCAGCACAGUUUCAAACAGAAUGUCUUAACAAAC